UUAUUUAUGGCAUCCUUUUUUGGGGUCUUGUGUUGAUAAUUAAUAAUUGUGAACACAUCACUUACAAAUAAAUAAUUGCAGAAGAUUUAGCUCUUUGUGGAACUCAUCCAGAUGUAGACCAGAGCAUUCUUUCCUAGACAAAAGCUUGUGUUUUCACUUAUAGAAGUCAUUCACAAUGAUACUUUAUAUUGUUUAGUACUUAUAUCCUACUGCCAAACCCUUUAUUUUUAAACAGUAAUACUUCUUGUGCAUCAACCCCUAUCACAGGGUGUUAUAAUUCUCUCCCUGAAGACAGACCCGAAUGAGAUCAUUUAUCUUUACAAGUGCCAGGGCUGGGGAUGGGUUUCAGGGUAAGACCAGUAAAAGCAAAGCUUUAGACCAUGAACUAACAGCUUAUAUUUUGGGCAAAUGAUUCAACACAAUGGAUUUUUUAAAGGUUACAGAAUUGAGUGGCAGAAAGAUAGCUGUGGCGUGAGGAUUCGUCUCAGCUCUCUGUGAUCAGAUGAAAGGAGUCCUGCUCCAGGGAAUACACACAAGCAGUGGGGGUUUGGUAGCCCGCUGCGGCCUCGCUCUAGGAUGUGCUUCAGAGUCACCGUCAGCUUUGAUCCCACUGCUUUACAUGAAAUAUUAGGGGAAAAGGUCUCUACUAAUGAGGGGUGAGAACAUACUUACAAUGCAGGUUCCAGUGUUGCUUUCUGGAAGUGAAUGCAUCAAGCCUGAUGAGAAGAAGACGUGGGUAAAGAAUGAAAGGGAGCAACAGGCAUCACUAAAAGGCUUGCCCACCAGGUCCCGCCAGGGGGUGCCUGUUUAUCACAUGCAAUUCUCAUGAACCCUCUGAAGGACAGGCCAUAGCAUUCUUGCCCACACAUACAGGGAUGGGGACUGAACAGGGACUCAGCCAAGGCUGCCCCCCAAUAGCUAGUGGAAUGGACAAGUGGAAGUGCACACCGCAGCUGUCAGCCUGACUCUGUCUGCUGCUCUGCCACCUGUCUGCAUCCUGCCCUGGACAUGUUGCCCGCCUCCUGGUUGCCUGGAGUCCCCUGUGUACCCUUCGGCACCUCGAUCUCCUGUUCUUCCACACUCUUGGUCAGAUAGAGGUGGGGAAGAUGGCCACGCUGGCUCUGCUCAGAGCCAAGUCAGCCCAGCAGGGGGAGAAGAGAAGGUAUCCAGCUAAGAUGACCUCCCUACACACACACCUGAGGCUGAGUAUCUGUGUAGAGCAUGAGGCAUGUACUCCCCAUAUGGCUGAGCUGGGGGCCUUGCACCCACUAAGCUCUGUCCACCCAAAUUCUGGAGAAGACUGGUGCCAGUGGAAACACCGAUCUAGAAAAUCUCACUGUUACCCACCAAAAUGGGGACAGGUAAAAGGAGAAAGGCUGAAGCCUCCCAGAGAAGACAUUUGUAUGUUUCCUGUAGAACAGAAGCACUUCGUGGAGUAACCAGUGACAGAGAAAGGCCACUGAAUUAGGAUAUUUUGGCCAACUGCACUGAAAUUUAAAAAAGGAAAUAAGAUGCAGACAACUCCCACGUUUCUCUAGCCAACAGGAACGGUCCAGCCAAAUAUAAGAAGACAAGGUGUAAGAAAAGGUCUCAGCAUAACCAGAGUCCUUGGAAAAGGCACCUAGGACCCCAGGUGAAGUUGACUCCCUGACCUGGGGGGUCCUGAGAGAACUUCUGGAGUGACAGUGAGAGCAAGGUAUGGAAAAACACAGCCUUAAUGCAAACACACUGUGGGGAGAAGGGGUAGGUGGCCAUGAUGAGAACAUUCUGGAAGAAAAUGCAACUGGAGAAGAAGAGCAUUCCUUGCAAAUGUUUUAGGCCAUCGUAAAUUGAGAGAAAAUAUAGAUUUAAUGACUAACAGGAAUAAAGGUGUGUUGGUAAAACCAAUGAGAUGAAGAGAGACAGUUGCAGAUUUUUCAGUUAAGACUAAACAGCUAAAAACCACCACAGAACUAAUAAAUUAUGAUAAAGAAUGAACACACAGACACAGUGGGGAAAAAUUACUGGCAGAGACAAAAGUGUUGAGAUGAACUCAGCAAAGGCAGAAGAAAAAGAUAAUCACAUUAAACAUUUAAAAACAAUAAAAUAAGGGAUUGGGGAAAAUGACAGCUUCCACUUUUUAAGGAUACUUAGUGCUAUUUAAGUUUUCUCCCCAAGCAUGCCAGUGCACUCACUUAGUGUUUGUUUGAACAUUUUUACAUAGCAACAGAUUUUUUUCUAACUAGUGAGACACUGGCCAAUACUUUUUUCCUUCUUCUUUUUUUCUUUUCCAUUCGGAAACAAAAGAACAAUGUAAUACAUGCCAUUUUUAUAAAGGAAGCAGAUUGAAUCUUCAAAAAACUAAGUCAUAAUUAUGCACUAAUAAAAAGCAAACAAAAGAAUGGAACCUGUACCUGUGUUGUGAAGUCACAUGGCAGCUGCUGGAGGACUGCCAUCAGAUGUGGAUUUAUGUGGAGGAUAUUUCCUCUUCUUUCCCUGCAAUCCUCAUUUCCAGAUUCAAUAGAAGAAGACAGACCCUUGCUGUGUUCACUUCUCACCCCCACACCAAGUCUAGAAAUCAUUCUUCCUUUGAGAUGGGGAAGGCGUUGGAAAGGCUUGCAGCAGGCAGCCUGCUGGCUGGAAAGCCAGCUCACACGGCAGGGCAGCCACACUCAGCAGUCCUUGGACUAAGGGGAGGUACACUCUCAUCAUCGUGAGUUUCGAGAGCUGUCAGCUCAGCUGCAACCAAAGCUACAACUGACGCUUUAGCAGGAAACAGCCACAUCCUCCUGGGACACCGUCCUGAAGGGAACAGCACAAUGUGUGUCAGAUGCAAAGUUUUCAACCUCAGAUCACCAAGAUUUACAUGAGCUCUCAGGCCUCUCUGCAGUGCACCCCCACAGGAAGGCACAGACACCACAAGGCUCAGGUGUGAACAGUGUUGCCUGCUGUCUUCCCCCUGCCCACCCCUCACUCCCCGUGCCCACACUAAUCUCCUGUGUCCUCUUCAACAUCUGGUACUAUAUG
Long non-coding RNA from Canis lupus familiaris (dog), 3006 nucleotides. RefSeq lists it as uncharacterized. The record is from RefSeq and is a predicted model, not a curated record. The transcript is spliced from 3 exons. Lineage: Eukaryota; Metazoa; Chordata; Mammalia; Carnivora; Canidae.